UACGAAGGGGGCUAGCGUUGUUCGGAAUUACUGGGCGUAAAGCGCGCGUAGGCGGUGAUCUUUGUCAGAGGUGAAAGCCUGGGGCUCAACUCCAGAAUUGCCUUUGAAACGGGAUCGCUUGAGUCCGAGAGAGGAUGGCGGAAUUCCUAGUGUAGAGGUGAAAUUCGUAGAUAUUAGGAAGAACACCGGUGGCGAAGGCGGCCAUCUGGCUCGGUACUGACGCUGAGGCACGAAAGCGUGGGGAGCAAACAGG
RNAcentral lists this ribosomal RNA (253 nucleotides) under uncultured bacterium. RNAcentral describes it as "partial 16S ribosomal RNA". It matches the Rfam family "Bacterial small subunit ribosomal RNA", at positions 524 to 776 of the family's 1533-position model. The record is from RNAcentral.